Long non-coding RNA from Numida meleagris (helmeted guineafowl), 1286 nucleotides. RefSeq lists it as uncharacterized. The transcript has 2 exons. NCBI's taxonomy places the organism in Eukaryota, Metazoa, Chordata, Aves, Galliformes, Numididae. The record is from RefSeq and is a predicted model, not a curated record.
CAGGUCUUGGCUUAGAUUUCAGUUUCUCAGGACUGAGUGGAUUUUUUUCAGAUAGUGUCUUACCUGAGCUGCACAGACAAGAGGUGUCACCAUCUUGACUCGCUAGCAAGAUCCUUUCUACAAAGUUCAAGGCUACAUCCCCAGCACAGAGCCUCUUGCUACAGUAAAGGUGAGUGGGUCCAUUGGAGAACUACCAAGCUGAUGGAGGUCUGGAGCACUUGUCUUGGGCUUGUUCAGUCUGAAGAAUGGCAGCUUGACGUAACAGAAGCCGCCUGUGCCUGCAGGGGGAUUAUGGUGAAGAUGGACUGCAGAGGUGCUCGGAGGAAAGGUGCAUAGACAACAGGCAGAAAUUGAAAUGAGAUGUGACUAAAUACAUGGAUUUUUUUUUUCUCUGUGGGAGCAGAAGAGCAGAGGAGCUGAUUUCUCAAACAGUUUGUGCAGUCUUCAUCAGUGGAGGUUUACAAUACCCAGCUGUGUAAAUGCUCCUGGACAGCCUUGACUCCACAGUGGGCAGGAAGUUGGACUACAGACCUGCUGUCUACCCUGAAUGAUCCUACAGUUCUGUACCAGCUGUAUACCACUGCUGAUCUUUCAGACUGUUCAUGCCAUAGUUUUCCUGUUUAAAUAAAAGUACGCUGAAUUAACUCUAGUUUUACAGAUCCUCUGAAGUCCAGACAUAUAUCUUACAUACAGUGGGAGAUGUAUUUUUCAUGCUGAUAAGUGCUUUCUAAAGAAUUCUUUUUAUUUUAAAAUGAAAGUAAGAAUUCUGUUUGUCAGCUGAUUUGUAUUUCCACAACAUCUGAAAACAGAGCAUGUUACUGUGAUUAAUAGAAAUAGGGUGGAUGUACUGAAACAACUGCAGGGCUUGUGUGAAAUGUGACCAAGUUAGAAUUAACAUAAGCUACAUCUAGUGUUUCAAUUCUCAUCUGAGGUCCUGCUUUAACUAUAAAUAAUGUACAACCCCUUUUACAUACUCCAAAUGCUAGUGUUCACUGUAAUUUUAGCUUUAUGUUUUCCUCUACAUGAUAGCUGCUCUACUGAAGUAUUUUAAGGUGUAAAAUGAUCAUCUAUUAAGUCUUUUGAUUGGUUUGUUUCUGGCACAGGAAAGCUGCAAAAAGUCUUGUUUCUCUAUUUAGCACAGACAGGUUGAAAUAUCUUUACAACAAUACCUACUAGACUGUUCCCAAAAGGAUGUUAUCAAAUUUUAAGGUCUGUAGUGGAAAAAAUCUAAUUUCCACGAUCAGUGUAAAACAAACAAGACCAAAACAAUAAAAACUCUUAUUUCA